UUAACAAAGACUGUACUGGGGACUGCUCUUUAAAAGGCUGUUCAAUGGUGAUACUCUAUUUUUUUAACAUCAGCAUCAUUUAGAAACCUUUUAGAGGACUGUCCUGUUCACCCACAUUAGGCACAGGAGAAAA
Molecule: microRNA precursor, 133 nt
Filed under: Procavia capensis (Cape rock hyrax)
Lineage: Eukaryota; Metazoa; Chordata; Mammalia; Hyracoidea; Procaviidae
Description: miRNA (ENSPCAG00000019603.1)
Source: RNAcentral